GAAAAUUUCUCAAGGUUGCUAAAGAUCUUAAGCACCCAUUAAUUAACCGCCAACUCUGCUUUUGUCAAAGUAGCUUGCUUGCAUUUUCAGGAUGUGAUUUCUGCCUAUAUAAGUCUCAAGCAAUCUCCACUCGAGCUGCUGCUGCUUACUAAACUCCCUGUGCGGAGUGACAGGCAGCAGCCGCCAGCUAGCUGACUAAUAAAGGCUCUUUUAAAUUCCGUUUGGCUGUCUCGUACCUUAACUCGCGGGCACCGUAACAUUUGGAGGCCCCAGCGAGAAUUUUCUCCUCGGCAUAUUCCGAGGCUUAUCGGUCGAGACAAGGUCCGACUACCGGUCUUCCCCCAGGGGGGCGCGCAUGAGAGACGUUCCUCAGCCCCGGCGGAGAACCGAGUGGUCGGGCCUCGAGAUUCGAAAAUCUGCCUCUGGAGCCAUCUGGACGUGGGCCCACAACGCCCACAUAGGACAACUAUCAACAACUUCUGCAAACCCUUUUCACAUCAGAAGAGGAAGAGAAUCCAUGCCCAGGGAUGGAAACUAGUUGUGGGGCCAGAUGAUCUACCUACCACGGAAGCAGACUGCCUCGAAACCGUUUUUCUUUUCACCCAACCCCGGUGGGACCCUAACAUAAAUUAAGGCACAUAUGUGGAUGUCUAUUGGAGUCAAAGAAGUAAUUGGGCCCAUAUCAUGCAAGUUCCAGAGUCCAGAUGGGCUGGUGUGGUAGCUGUGUCUUGAUCAACUCUGAAGGUGUUUCUCUUGGGAUAUUUGACAACAGCAACAUCAUUAGAAGCAACCAGCUCCUAAAGAGCCAUCUGGCUUAUUUUAUUGUUGUUGUUCUUCUUCUUCGUCAAGAA
Choloepus didactylus (southern two-toed sloth) is the source of this 851-nucleotide long non-coding RNA. RefSeq lists it as uncharacterized. The transcript is spliced from 3 exons. The record is from RefSeq and is a predicted model, not a curated record. Lineage: Eukaryota; Metazoa; Chordata; Mammalia; Pilosa; Megalonychidae.